GCCGCAUGGUGGGGGUUGGAAAGAUUUUUUGGAUGGGGAUGGGCUCACGGCCUAUCAGCUUGUUGGUGGGGUGAUGGCCUACCAAGGCGUCGACGGGUAGCCGGCCUGAGAGGGUGACCGGCCACAUUGGGACUGAGAUACGGCCCAGACUCCUACGGGAGGCAGCAGUGGGGAAUAUUGCACAAUGGACGCAAGUCUGAUGCAGCGACGCCGCGUGGGGGAUGAAGGCUUUCGGGUUGUAAACUCCUUUCAGUACAGAAGAAGCAUUUUUGUGACGGUAUGUGCAGAAGAAGCGCCGGCUAACUACGUGCCAGCAGCCGCGGUAAUACGUAGGGCGCGAGCGUUGUCCGGAAUUAUUGGGCGUAAAGAGCUCGUAGGCGGUUUGUUGCGCCUGCUGUGAAAGACCGGGGCUUAACUUCGGGGUUGCAGUGGGUACGGGCAGACUAGAGUGUGGUAGGGGUAAUUGGAAUUCCUGGUGUAGCGGUGGAAUGCGCAGAUAUCAGGAGGAACACCGAUGGCGAAGGCAGGUUACUGGGCCAUUACUGACGCUGAGGAGCGAAAGCGUGGGUAGCGAACAGGAUUAGAUACCCUGGUAGUCCACGCUGUAAACGUUGGGCACUAGGUGUGGGGCCUUUUCCACGGGUUCUGCGCCGUAGCUAACGCUUUAAGUGCCCCGCCUGGGGAGUACGGCCGCAAGGUUAAAACUCAAAGGAAUUGACGGGGGCCCGCACAAGCGGCGGAGCAUGCGGAUUAAUUCGAUGCAACGCGAAGAACCUUACCAAGGCUUGACAUACACUGCGAUGUGCCAGAGAUGGUGCAGCCUUCGGGGUGGUGUACAGGUGGUGCAUGGUUGUCGUCAGCUCGUGUCGUGAGAUGUUGGGUUAAGUCCCGCAACGAGCGCAACCCUUGUCCUGUGUUGCCAGCAUGUUGUGGUGGGGACUCACGGGAGACUGCCGGGGUUAACUCGGAGGAAGGUGGGGAUGACGUCAAAUCAUCAUGCCCCUUAUGUCUUGGGCUUCACGCAUGCUACAAUGGCCGGUACAGAGGGUUGCGAGCCUGUGAGGGUGAGCUAAUCCCUUAAAGCUGGUCUCAGUUCGGAUUGGGGUCUGCAACUCGACCCCAUGAAGUCGGAGUCGCUAGUAAUCGCAGAUCAGCAACGCUGCGGUGAAUACGUUCUCGGGCCUUGUACACACCGCCCGUCACGUCACGAAAGUUGG
RNAcentral lists this ribosomal RNA (1217 nucleotides) under Trueperella pyogenes. Its description in RNAcentral is "bacterial SSU rRNA". It matches the Rfam family "Bacterial small subunit ribosomal RNA", at positions 185 to 1414 of the family's 1533-position model. Lineage: Bacteria; Bacillati; Actinomycetota; Actinomycetes; Actinomycetales; Actinomycetaceae. The record is from RNAcentral.